RNAcentral lists this ribosomal RNA (1462 nucleotides) under Shigella flexneri. Its description in RNAcentral is "bacterial SSU rRNA". It matches the Rfam family "Bacterial small subunit ribosomal RNA". The record is from RNAcentral. Lineage: Bacteria; Pseudomonadati; Pseudomonadota; Gammaproteobacteria; Enterobacterales; Enterobacteriaceae.
CAGCUUGCUGCUUCGCUGACGAGUGGCGGACGGGUGAGUAAUGUCUGGGAAACUGCCUGAUGGAGGGGGAUAACUACUGGAAACGGUAGCUAAUACCGCAUAAUGUCGCAAGACCAAAGAGGGGGACCUUCGGGCCUCUUGCCAUCGGAUGUGCCCAGAUGGGAUUAGCUUGUUGGUGAGGUAACGGCUCACCAAGGCGACGAUCCCUAGCUGGUCUGAGAGGAUGACCAGCCACACUGGAACUGAGACACGGUCCAGACUCCUACGGGAGGCAGCAGUGGGGAAUAUUGCACAAUGGGCGCAAGCCUGAUGCAGCCAUGCCGCGUGUAUGAAGAAGGCCUUCGGGUUGUAAAGUACUUUCAGCGGGGAGGAAGGGAGUAAAGUUAAUACCUUUGCUCAUUGACGUUACCCGCAGAAGAAGCACCGGCUAACUCCGUGCCAGCAGCCGCGGUAAUACGGAGGGUGCAAGCGUUAAUCGGAAUUACUGGGCGUAAAGCGCACGCAGGCGGUUUGUUAAGUCAGAUGUGAAAUCCCCGGGCUCAACCUGGGAACUGCAUCUGAUACUGGCAAGCUUGAGUCUCGUAGAGGGGGGUAGAAUUCCAGGUGUAGCGGUGAAAUGCGUAGAGAUCUGGAGGAAUACCGGUGGCGAAGGCGGCCCCCUGGACGAAGACUGACGCUCAGGUGCGAAAGCGUGGGGAGCAAACAGGAUUAGAUACCCUGGUAGUCCACGCCGUAAACGAUGUCGACUUGGAGGUUGUGCCCUUGAGGCGUGGCUUCCGGAGCUAACGCGUUAAGUCGACCGCCUGGGGAGUACGGCCGCAAGGUUAAAACUCAAAUGAAUUGACGGGGGCCCGCACAAGCGGUGGAGCAUGUGGUUUAAUUCGAUGCAACGCGAAGAACCUUACCUGGUCUUGACAUCCACGGAAGUUUUCAGAGAUGAGAAUGUGCCUUCGGGAACCGUGAGACAGGUGCUGCAUGGCUGUCGUCAGCUCGUGUUGUGAAAUGUUGGGUUAAGUCCCGCAACGAGCGCAACCCUUAUCCUUUGUUGCCAGCGGUCCGGCCGGGAACUCAAAGGAGACUGCCAGUGAUAAACUGGAGGAAGGUGGGGACGACGUCAAGUCAUCAUGGCCCUUACGACCAGGGCUACACACGUGCUACAAUGGCGCAUACAAAGAGAAGCGACCUCGCGAGAGCAAGCGGACCUCAUAAAGUGCGUCGUAGUCCGGAUUGGAGUCUGCAACUCGACUCCAUGAAGUCGGAAUCGCUAGUAAUCGUGGAUCAGAAUGCCACGGUGAAUACGUUCCCGGGCCUUGUACACACCGCCCGUCACACCAUGGGAGUGGGUUGCAAAAGAAGUAGGUAGCUUAACCUUCGGGAGGGCGCUUACCACUUUGUGAUUCAUGACUGGGGUGAAGUCGUAACAAGGUAACCGUAGGGGAACCUGCGGUUGGAUCACCUCCUU